AAUACGAGAUUAACAAAGAUUAAUUAAAAUUCGAAGAUAGAUAUUGAUUAUGACAGUAUUUGCUANUGUCUUGACCAAGUCACGUGCCAGCAGUCGCGGNAAUACGUGGAAGAUUAGCGUUAUUCAUCUUUANUUGGUUUAAAGGGUACCUAGACGGUUAAUCAAACACAAUAUGUAUUAAUUAACUAGAGUUUAAUAUAANAAAGAUUGAGUACGGNGAGUGUAGAGAUAAAAUUUUGUCCUAGGAACUGGUAAAGGCGAAGGCGACUUUCUAUGUAAAAACUGACGUUGAGGGACGAAGGCUUGUAUUAAAUAACANGAUUAGAUACCCUAGUAUUGUGAGCAGACGAUGAUGAGUGUCAUAUGCAAUUUGUGUAUAAAUGAAAGUGUAAGCAUUCCACCUCAAGAGUAACGUGGCAACACGGGAAUUGAAAUCAUUAGCACCGCUUCUGAAACUCGUAGUGAAGUAUGUUGUUUAAUUUGAUGAUCCGCAAAAACCCUUACCCCAAACAAGCGUUGCACGGCUGUCUUCAGUCAAUGUUGUGAAACUGUGGUUAGAUCCAUAUAAUUGACGUAAACCCUUNCUUUAAAGUAGUUCGCCAUUGGUAGUGAUAUAAGGGACUAAGCCAAGUCAUCAUGACCUGAACA
RNAcentral lists this ribosomal RNA (648 nucleotides) under Chapsa phlyctidioides. RNAcentral describes it as "SSU rRNA". It matches the Rfam family "Bacterial small subunit ribosomal RNA", at positions 427 to 1206 of the family's 1533-position model. Lineage: Eukaryota; Fungi; Ascomycota; Lecanoromycetes; Ostropales; Graphidaceae. The record is from RNAcentral.